This is a long non-coding RNA of Polypterus senegalus (gray bichir), 354 nucleotides long. RefSeq lists it as uncharacterized. The record is from RefSeq and is a predicted model, not a curated record. The transcript is spliced from 3 exons. NCBI's taxonomy places the organism in Eukaryota, Metazoa, Chordata, Cladistia, Polypteriformes, Polypteridae.
GCCAAACAGAAGUUCUACACAAGUUGUCCGAAGUGAUGGCCCCCUCCGGCACAGCUCAGCCAGAGUAUGCACCACCUGCCAAGACACAUCAUCCAAAGUGAGCUCCAAACCGUCCAAGUCCCCGUCAGCUCCGACAUACCCUUUGACGUUUGUGACUCCAGUUCUAUUCAGACAGCCGCCAUGACAGACCUGACGAUGCUAAGAUACAGAAGGUGAUUUUCAUGAACAGAUGACAGAGGUGGUGAACUGGAGGGUGGCACAGUACAGCCAAUAGCAGCUCAGUUCCUGUUUUCAGACAAUAGGAAACCCCGCCCAUUGAGUAAUGACAUCACCUUUGCUCCACCCCUACACCAC